GAUACAUAGGAUGUGUAAAGAUGUGCAUAUGGUGCAAUGGUGAUGUAACGGUGAUCGGUAUGAGAUCGUAUGGUAGUCAGGUAGUCAGGUAGUGUAUGAUCUUGUUACACGUGAUUGUUGUAAAAAAAUAUUAUUGUUACACGUGAUUGUUGUAAAAAAAUGUCACAAAAAAUUAAUGGGAGAGGAAAAGUUGCAUGGGAGAUAGAGCCGUUGGAGGGUGAAUAUCACCAAAAAUUAAUGGGGCUAGAAAAGCUGCAGCACAUAUGGCAGAGAGAGCCGUUGGGGUGACUUGAGUACAGCUUUAGCACAUAUGGCAGAGAGAGGCGUUGGGGUGCCUUGAGUACAGCUUUAGCACAUAUGGCAGAGAGAGCCGUUGGGGUGCCUUGAGUACAGCUUUAGCACAUAUAACACAGCUUUAGCUGUUCUCAAGACGCUUUAGGUCAUACUGAAUAUGGCAUAAAGCAUCUUUAUGUCUCAUCCACAGUGAAUGCAGACGUGUUGUAGAUACACGUUGGAAAAAAUCAAAAUACAAGGUAAAAUAUAUUAACUAGAGGUAAAAUAUAUUAACUAGAGAUAGAAGGGCACACAUCUCGGCAUAGAACACCGGUCCAUAUCGCUUCCAUCGUGGGGAAGACGAAGACGGGCGCUCUCCGCUA
Molecule: long non-coding RNA, 656 nt
Filed under: Setaria viridis
Lineage: Eukaryota; Viridiplantae; Streptophyta; Magnoliopsida; Poales; Poaceae
Description: long non-coding RNA (SVIR_LNC008518)
Source: RNAcentral